AUUCCGCUGAAUUUAAGCAUAUAAGUAAGUGGUGGAAAUUAAACCAACUGGGAUCUCUUCAGUAAUUGCGCAUGAACCAGGAUAUGCUUAGCUUGACAAAUGGAGCUGCUGGCUCUGAAUUGUAUUGUGGGAAUGUAUUACCAACAGAGGUGCAGGUCACACUCCUUGGCAUUGGAAUGCAAAGUGGGUGGUAAGUUUCAUGCAAAGGUAAAUAUGCAAUUGAGACUGAUAGCGCACAAGUACCAUGAGGGACAUAUGAAAAGGACUUUGAAAAGAGAAUUAAAUGAGUUUGUAUUUGCUAAACACAAAGUAAACAGACUUGAUUUCCUCAGUGAGAUUGUAGUGCUUGCUUAACAAUGGGUUUUGGCUGCAAGUGCAAUAAUUCUUGCUUUGUGUGCCCGUUUUUAUGUGGACAUUUGAUUACCUUUGCACAUGAAUGGUAAUUUUCCUGCGGGGUGUGGAUUGCAUAUGCAUGUAAUGAUUUGCAUGUUUGUUAAAUGUGUCUGGUGUAUUUGUUUGUGUCCUUGUCCUUGAGGUUGCUUUCUCCCUUGGGCUUACAUGCCCUGGCACACACAUUCUGGCAAAAUGCUUCUGCUUGACCCGUCUUGAAAAU
This 613-nucleotide ribosomal RNA is filed under the name Alexandrium tamarense. RNAcentral's name for it is "LSU rRNA". It matches the Rfam family "Eukaryotic large subunit ribosomal RNA", at positions 24 to 661 of the family's 3401-position model. The record is from RNAcentral. Lineage: Eukaryota; Dinophyceae; Gonyaulacales; Pyrocystaceae.